Molecule: ribosomal RNA, 444 nt
Filed under: uncultured bacterium
Lineage: Bacteria
Description: bacterial SSU rRNA
Rfam family: Bacterial small subunit ribosomal RNA
Source: RNAcentral
AAUCAACGCUGGCGGCGUGCCUAACACAUGCAAGUCGAACGCGAGAGGGGCUUCGGCCCCGAUUGAGUGGCGAACGGGUGAGUAACGCGUGGGUGACCUACCUUCGAGUGGGGGAUAACGUCCCGAAAGGGACGCUAAUACCGCAUAACAUCCUGCUUUUGAAUGGGUGGAGAUCAAAGCCGGGGAUCGCAAGACCUGGCGCUUGAUGAGGGGCCCGCGUCUGAUUAGCUAGNGGUGAGGUAACGGCCCACCAAGGCAACGAUCAGUAUCCGGCCUGAGAGGGCGGACGGACACACUGGGACUGAGACACGGCCCAGACUCCUACGGGAGGCAGCAGUGGGGAAUUGUUCGCAAUGGGCGCAAGCCUGACGACGCAACGCCGCGUGGAGGAUGAAGGUCUUCGGAUUGUAAACUCCUGUUGCCCGGGACGAAUGGCUCCGACCU